Molecule: ribosomal RNA, 458 nt
Filed under: uncultured bacterium
Lineage: Bacteria
Description: SSU rRNA
Rfam family: Bacterial small subunit ribosomal RNA
Source: RNAcentral
AGAAUCAACGCUGGCGGCGUGCCUAACACAUGCAAGUCGAACGAGAAAGUGGAGCAAUCCAUGAGUAAAGUGGCGCACGGGUGAGUAACACGUGACUAACCUACCCUUGAGUGGGGAAUAACUUCGGGAAACCGAGGCUAAUACCGCAUAACACCUACGGGUCAAAGGAGCAAUUCGCUUAAGGAGGGGUCGCGGCAGAUUAGUUAGUUGGCGGGGUAAUGGCCCACCAAGACAGUGAUCUGUAUCCGGCCUGAGAGGGCGCACGGACACACUGGAACUGAAACACGGUCCAGACUCCUACGGGAGGCAGCAGUGGGAAUUUUGCGCAAUGGGGGAAACCCUGACGCAGCAACGCCGCGUGGAGGAUGAAGUCUCUUGGGACGUAAACUCCUUUCGAUCGGGACGAUAAUGACGGUACCGAGAGAAGAAGCCCCGGCUAACUUCGUGCCAGCAGCCGC